Molecule: non-coding RNA, 27 nt
Filed under: Chlamydomonas euryale
Lineage: Eukaryota; Viridiplantae; Chlorophyta; Chlorophyceae; Chlamydomonadales; Chlamydomonadaceae
Source: RNAcentral
CCGCCUGGGGGCGGCAGGUCGCGAGUU